GACGAACGCUGGCGGCGUGCUUAACACAUGCCAGUCGAACGGAAAGGCCCUGCUUUUGUGGGGUGCUCGAGUGGCGAACGGGUGAGUAACACGUGAGUAACCUGCCCUUGACUUUGGGAUAACUUCAGGAAACUGGGGCUAAUACCGGAUAGGAGCUCCUGCUGCAUGGUGGGGGUUGGAAAGUUUCGGCGGUUGGGGAUGGACUCGCGGCUUAUCAGCUUGUUGGUGGGGUAGUGGCUUACCAAGGCUUUGACGGGUAGCCGGCCUGAGAGGGUGACCGGCCACAUUGGGACUGAGAUACGGCCCAGACUCCUACGGGAGGCAGCAGUGGGGAAUAUUGCACAAUGGGCGGAAGCCGGAUGCAGCAACGCCGCGUGCGGGAUGACGGCCUUCGGGUUGUAAACCGCUUUCGCCUGUGACGAAGCGUGAGGGACGGUAAUGGGUAAAGAAGCACCGGCUAACUAAGU
Molecule: ribosomal RNA, 467 nt
Filed under: uncultured bacterium
Lineage: Bacteria
Description: partial 16S ribosomal RNA
Rfam family: Bacterial small subunit ribosomal RNA
Source: RNAcentral